This 499-nucleotide ribosomal RNA is filed under the name uncultured bacterium. RNAcentral's name for it is "partial 16S ribosomal RNA". It matches the Rfam family "Bacterial small subunit ribosomal RNA", at positions 30 to 524 of the family's 1533-position model. The record is from RNAcentral.
AUUGAACGCUGGCGGCAUGCUUUACACAUGCAAGUCGAACGGUAACAGGCCGCAAGGUGCUGACGAGUGGCGAACGGGUGAGUAAUGCAUCGGAACGUGCCCAGUCGUGGGGGAUAACUAUCCGAAAGGAUAGCUAAUACCGCAUACGAUCUGCGGAUGAAAGCGGGGGACCUUCGGGCCUCGCGCGAUUGGAGCGGCCGAUGUCAGAUUAGGUAGUUGGUGGGGUAAAGGCUCACCAAGCCAACGAUCUGUAGCUGGUCUGAGAGGACGGCCAGCCACACUGGGACUGAGACACGGCCCAGACUCCUACGGGAGGUAGCAGUGGGGAAUUUUGGACAAUGGGCGCAAGCCUGAUCCAGCAAUGCCGCGUGCAGGAAGAAGGCCUUCGGGUUGUAAACUGCUUUUGUACGGAACGAAACGGCUCUGGUUAAUACCUGGGGCUAAUGACGGUACCGUAAGAAUAAGCACCGGCUAACUACGUGCCAGCCGCCGCCGUUAA